CCUACGGGAGGCAGCAGUGAGGAAUAUUGGUCAAUGGGCGGAAGCCUGAACCAGCCAAGUAGCGUGCGGGAAGACGGCCCUACGGGUCGUAAACCGCUUUUGCACGAGGGUAACACCCUCCACGUGUGGCGGUCUGCAAGUACCGUACGAAUAAGGGUCGGCUAAUUCCGUGCCAGCAGCCGCGGUAAUACGGAGGUCCCGAGCGUUAUCCGGAUUUAUUGGGCUUAAAGGGGGCGUAGGCGGUCGUUCAAGUCAGCGGUAAAAUCGCGCGGCUCAACCGCGCCCAGCAGUUGAAACUGGACGCCUUGAGUUAACAAGAGGUAGGCGGAAUGCGUGGUGUAGCGGUGAAAUGCAUAGAUAUCA
This 363-nucleotide ribosomal RNA is filed under the name uncultured bacterium. Its description in RNAcentral is "partial 16S ribosomal RNA". It matches the Rfam family "Bacterial small subunit ribosomal RNA", at positions 338 to 699 of the family's 1533-position model. The record is from RNAcentral.